Molecule: transfer RNA, 95 nt
Filed under: Bacillota bacterium
Lineage: Bacteria; Bacillati; Bacillota
Description: Firmicutes bacterium (anaerobic digester metagenome) tRNA-Ser
Rfam family: tRNA
About the family: Transfer RNA (tRNA) molecules are approximately 80 nucleotides in length.
Source: RNAcentral
GGAGAGAUGGCUGAGUUUGGUCGAAGGCGCUCGCCUGGAAAGCGAGUAGACGGGGUUGACUCGUCUCGAGGGUUCGAAUCCCUCUCUCUCCGCCA